Molecule: non-coding RNA, 32 nt
Filed under: Mus musculus (house mouse)
Lineage: Eukaryota; Metazoa; Chordata; Mammalia; Rodentia; Muridae
Source: RNAcentral
UGGAAACAAAGUGAAUGGGUAACAGACCCUGC